This 475-nucleotide ribosomal RNA is filed under the name uncultured bacterium. RNAcentral's name for it is "bacterial SSU rRNA". It matches the Rfam family "Bacterial small subunit ribosomal RNA", at positions 15 to 518 of the family's 1533-position model. The record is from RNAcentral.
GAUCAUGGCUCAGGAUUAACGCUGGCGGCGUGCCUAAUACAUGCAAGUCGAAUGGUAGCAAUACCAUGGCGAACGGGUGAGUAACACGUAGGUAACCUGUCUUUAAGCCGAGGAUAACCAUUGGAAACGAUGGAUAAUACUGGAUAGGACAUUUGAAGGCAUCUUUAGAUGUUUAAAGAUUUAUCACUUAGAGAGGGGCCUGCGGCGCAUUAGCUAGUUGGUGAGGUGAAGGCUUACCAAGGCGAUGAUGCGUAGCCGGACUGAGAGGUUGAACGGCCACAAUGGAACUGAGAACGGUCCAUACUCCUACGGGAGGCAGCAGUAGGGAAUUUUCGGCAAUGGGCGGAAGCCUGACCGAGCAACGCCGCGUGAACGAAGAAGUAUUUCGGUAUGUAAAGUUCUUUUAUUAGGGACGAAAAGACAGAUUGACGGUACCUAAUGAAUAAGCUCCGGCUAACUACGUGCCAGCCGCCGC